Molecule: ribosomal RNA, 433 nt
Filed under: uncultured bacterium
Lineage: Bacteria
Description: partial 16S ribosomal RNA
Rfam family: Bacterial small subunit ribosomal RNA
Source: RNAcentral
AGCGAACGCUGGCGGCAGGCCUAACACAUGCAAGUCGAACGGAUCCUUCGGGAUUAGUGGCGGACGGGUGAGUAACACGUGGGAACGUGCCCUUUGGUUCGGAACAACUCAGGGAAACUUGAGCUAAUACCGGAUGUGCCCUUCGGGGGAAAGAUUUAUCGCCAUUGGAGCGGCCCGCGUCUGAUUAGCUAGUUGGUGAGGUAACGGCCCACCAAGGCGACGAUCAGUAGCUGGUCUGAGAGGAUGAUCAGCCACACUGGGACUGAGACACGGCCCAGACUCCUACGGGAAGCAGCAGUGGGGAAUCUUGCGCAAUGGGCGAAAGCCUGACGCAGCCAUGCCGCGUGAAUGAUGAAGGUCGUAGGAUUGUAAAAUUCUUUCAGCGGGGACGAUAAUGACGGUACCCGCAGAAGAAGCUCCGGCUAACUUCGUG